RNAcentral lists this ribosomal RNA (589 nucleotides) under uncultured bacterium. RNAcentral describes it as "bacterial SSU rRNA". It matches the Rfam family "Bacterial small subunit ribosomal RNA", at positions 338 to 917 of the family's 1533-position model. The record is from RNAcentral.
CCUACGGGAGGCAGCAGUGGGGAAUUUUGGACAAUGGGCGCAAGCCUGAUCCAGCAAUGCCGCGUGCAGGAUGAAGGCCUUCGGGUUGUAAACUGCUUUUGUACGGAGCGAAACGGUCUGCUUUAAUACAGUAGGCUAAUGACGGUACCGUAAGAAUAAGCACCGGCUAACUACGUGCCAGCAGCCGCGGUAAUACGUAGGGUGCGAGCGUUAAUCGGAAUUACUGGGCGUAAAGCGUGCGCAGGCGGUUAUAUAAGACAGAUGUGAAAUCCCCGGGCUCAACCUGGGACCUGCAUUUGUGACUGUAUAGCUAGAGUACGGUAGAGGGGGAUGGAAUUCCGCGUGUAGCAGUGAAAUGCGUAGAUAUGCGGAGGAACACCGAUGGCGAAGGCAAUCCCCUGGACCUGUACUGACGCUCAUGCACGAAAGCGUGGGGAGCAAACAGGAUUAGAUACCCUGGUAGUCCACGCCCUAAACGAUGUCAACUGGUUGUUGGGUCUUCACUGACUCAGUAACGAAGCUAAACGCGUGAAGUUGACCGCCUGGGGAGUACGGCCGCAAGGUUGAAACUCAAAAUUGAAUUGACGGG